This 309-nucleotide unclassified non-coding RNA is filed under the name plant metagenome. Its description in RNAcentral is "partial contains 5.8S ribosomal RNA, internal transcribed spacer 2, and large subunit ribosomal RNA". The stretch from base 1 to 105 matches the Rfam family "5.8S ribosomal RNA", at positions 50 to 154 of the family's 154-position model. The record is from RNAcentral.
GAAAUGCGAUAAGUAGUGUGAAUUGCAGAAUUCAGUGAAUCAUCGAAUCUUUGAACGCACAUUGCGCCCCUUGGUAUUCCAUGGGGCAUGCCUGUUCGAGCGUCAUUUGUACCCUCAAGCUCUGCUUGGUGUUGGGUGUUUGUCCCGUCUCCGCGCGUGGGCUCGCCCCAAAGUGAUUGGCAGCCGGCGUACUGGUCCCGGAGCGCAGCACAUGUCGCGCAAACGAGUGCCUUGGUACGGCGGCGUCCAUAAGCCCCUCUCUCACGCUCUUGACCUCGGAUCAGGUAGGGAUACCCGCUGAACUUAAGC